Molecule: ribosomal RNA, 473 nt
Filed under: uncultured bacterium
Lineage: Bacteria
Description: partial 16S ribosomal RNA
Rfam family: Bacterial small subunit ribosomal RNA
Source: RNAcentral
GAUAAACGCUGGCGGCGCACAUAAGACAUGCAAGUUGAACGGACUUAAUCGAAAUAUUUAUAUUUUGAAGCGGUUAGUGGCGGACUGGUGAGUAACGCGUAAGGAACCUGCCUAUUAGAGGGGAAUAACAGUGAGAAAUCAUUGCUAAUACCGCAUAUGCCAUAGAUAUCACAUGAUAACAGUGGGAAAGGAGCAAUCCGCUAAUAGAUGGCCUUGCGUCUGAUUAGAUAGUUGGUGGGGUAACGGCCUACCAAGUCGACGAUCAGUAGCCGGACUGAGAGGUUGAACGGCCACAUUGGGACUGAGAUACGGCCCAGACUCCUACGGGAGGCAGCAGUCGGGAAUAUUGCGCAAUUGAGGAAACUCUGACGCAGUGACGCCGCGUAUAGGAAGAAGGUUUUCGGAUUGUAAACUAUUGUCGUUAGGGAAGAGAAAGGACAGUACCUAAGGAGGAAGCUCCGGCUAACUACGUG